CAAGGACCUCACAUCCCUCCAUUCCUGCAGAGCCAGCUCAGUGCUCAGCAUACAGCCCAAGGCAAAUCCAGAACUAUAUAUCUUAUUGUUUCCAUCCAUGUUCUGCUAAAGGCACAGGGCAGGGUAGCUCAAUGGCAGAGGACUUGCGUGGCAAGCAGCCCUGGGGUUCCUUCCCUGGAGCCACAAAGGAGUGGAGAAGAAGGGCAUCUUGAGAGCCAUGAAGCUGGCCUCCACCACCUGCAGCCUCCCACAGCCUUGCUUCCCGUCCCCUCAGGCCCUGACUAAGCCAGAUGACCCGCUGCUCAUGGCCAAGGAGGCUUUCUUUCCCACGCAGAAGUUCCUGCUGGAGAAGCCAGCACUGCUAGCCAGCUCUGGUAGGGGACAGGGGACACCCUGAGGGGCACUUGGGCUGGGGUCCUGGCAGGGAUGCCCCAGGGCCCCUGCCAUGUAAGGCAAGCAUACGAUAUGAGCACCUGCUGUGUGACGCUUCCCCAUAUUCAAAGUCAGGUAGUCUUAAGGCUCCUGAUGGCUUCCCUUGAUCCUGAGUCCAGCUGGACAGUGGGGCUUUAAGGAGUCAGGAGUCAGGAGGGGGGCGGUGGUGGGGCACGCCUUUAAUCUCAGCACUCGGAAGGCAG
Molecule: non-coding RNA, 635 nt
Organism: Cricetulus griseus (Chinese hamster)
Lineage: Eukaryota; Metazoa; Chordata; Mammalia; Rodentia; Cricetidae
Source: RefSeq, a predicted model, not a curated record